Molecule: ribosomal RNA, 210 nt
Filed under: uncultured bacterium
Lineage: Bacteria
Description: partial 16S ribosomal RNA
Rfam family: Bacterial small subunit ribosomal RNA
Source: RNAcentral
CAGAUGUGAAAGACCCGGGGCGUCAACCUCGGAACUGCAUUUGAAACUAGGCAGACUAGAGUACUGUAGAGGGGGGUAGGAAUUUCAGGUGUAGCGGUGAAAUGCGUAGAGAUCUGAAGGAAUACCGGUGGCGAAGGCGGCCCCCUCGGACAGAUACUGACACUCAGAUGCGAAAGCGUGGGGAGCAAACAGGAUUAGAUACCCUGGUAG